AUACGUGUUUAGAUCCAACUACAGAGUCAAGAAGCAGUAAGACCGCAUUCUAAAGAGAACUGACCACCAUGAAGUCACUCCCCUGCUCACAGCUUACACAGAGGUGGUAGAAGUGGCCCUUCUAACACUAGCCGCGGCCUCAAACAAGACUUCUGACCCCACCACCUCCCCAGAGGGGACAGAAGGACUUUGUCAGGGCUGUGCUUUGGGGCCCAACACCCCCAGAGAAAAUGGAGCCUGGCAGUCGAGGGGGAGGAGGCAUCCCAGAGGAGUGACUCGGCUCACGGUCCCGCCCCGGCCACGUCAGGUCCCUCCCCACACAAAGUCUGGUGAGACGGGAAGUGGACUGAAGAGCUGGACCUGGGCUGCCUGAUGAGCCUCUGAAGCCCGGGAGGUGAGGUGAAUCGGGGCAAGGGGAGUGUGAGGGGACCAGGCCUGGCCUUGGGGGUGGGUACGCAGAAGGACCGUGUCGUGCUCCCAAGGGAUAGCGUUCCCAGCGAGACCGCGUGGAAGGUUCUAGAAAUCGCCACGGAGCAUGCGCCAAGGGCGCGUAAGGCGGGCCACAGCCCGAGUUGGGACAUGCACUUCCCCGCGGAGUCUCGCUCUCGGCAGCAGCUCUGGAUUUGGGUGCGAGCGUAUGGUGUGUAGAGAAGCAGGUGGAGGGGUUGCUGAAGUAGUGACGCCUGCUGCGGGUUCAUUGUGGGUGUUAAAAUUGCCCUGUGUCUCAGUUGUGAACGCUUGUUGAAAAUACACGACCGUGUAAAAUAAAGUCUCUGGGAGAAAAUAUGCCAACUUGUAAACAGUGGUUAUUUUUAGAAGACAAUUAAGAGUGACCUUUUUAGUGUUAAAAAAAAAAAAAGCUGGACUGUCAUUUACUAAUCGAGAGUGAUGAGGCAGUUAUGGCUUCUAAACUGUCGCUGAAGGGUCCAUUGCAUAGUGAGAAAAAAGAGGUUCAACAAUUGGGACCAAAGGGUGAAAGACAAACAGAACAGUUUCACGUUUUACUCCGUUGAAUUAGGAUUGUUCAAAAAUGCUUACAGUGAAUUUACUAACAGAUUAAGCACCAAGGACCUUACUUACCCCCUGAUAGUAGGCAAGCUACCCUACCCUUUCCUACAAGGGAAAAAAGCCCUGGAGAGAGGACUGUUUCCACAAAUGACUUUGGAGAACCAAAACAAAGGAAAGGGCAUGAAACUGGCCCAACCAUUUUGUGAGCAGAUGAAGUCAAAGAACUUCCACUAGAUUCUUAAGCACUUACACAUUGGAAGGAAGGAGCAAAAGGGGUCCAAUCAAGGAAAUGGCUCCAUGUGCCACGGCGUCAGGGUCCUUUCCCGAUUUAGUGGAGUGGCCACGGCCUGCAGAUGCAGGAGAGCAUAUCCCAAGCCAAGGCUGGCUGGGCAAGCGCCUCCUUGGGCCUUUGGUGUAUCACAGCAAGAGCCACAGAGGGAAGGAGACCUGGAGAGUGCACCCCAGUCUGGCUGGAGGAAAUGGAAAGCUUUGCGUCUUCAGACUCUAUAGACGCCACCUAGUGGGCAAACAACUCGUUCACACUCAGCACGCAACUGUGGCUGGCCCAGUUUCAGUUACUGGCAGUCAACCACAGUCCAGAAGCAGAUGAUCCUUCUCCUGACGUAUUGUCAUGUCAAUAGCAACCUAACGCUAUGUCACAAUGCCUACAUCAUUCACUUCACUCCAUCUCAUCAAAUAGGCAUCUUAUCAACUCACAUCAUCACAAGGUCUCCUGUCAAUGCUUUGCCCUGGCAAAACCUAACCGGAGCCUGUGACAUGUGGUUGACAGGUUGCCGACCCCUUGCAAUCCAGAAGAGUUCCCAGAAAGGCUCGCAGUGGGGUUGAGAGCCAACAGUACACAACCAGCACAAGCGCAUGAUGCUGUGUGGCUGCACCAUGAACAUUUCCACCGGAGGUGGUCAAGCAAUCCCUUUGCCCUGCAGUGAUGUCAUCAAGCCAUGUACCAGGAAGAGCCUCCCUUGGGUGGGGCUUCCCCUCCUCAAGAUACACACCUGGUGGGGAGAACUCGUUGUAGAAUUCCAAGUUCAGUUCCCAGAGAGGUUAACAGCAAAGACACAAUAGAUCCUUAAGCAGCUCUUACCCUAUUCUUGGCCCUGCCCUGGCUAACCCAGGGUCUACCACAUCAGCACCUCCAUAGAUCUGUAACUGGGGUACAGGGGUGCAAGAGAUCCUGGCUCCAGGGUCCCAAAUGGACCAGGUUCAGCCACUUGCUGCUGACAAGAUCCAAGAUAAGUGGUGGUGAAACCAGACAGGCAUUUAUUUCAGUGAGGCCAGCACCAGGAAGACUUCGCAAAGAGGGUCUCCAAAGUGCUGAAAAUAUCUUCUAGAUUUAUAUAAAGAAAAUGUGGGACAAAGGUCAGUGGGUACAUAACAUAGAUGUAGGCAGUAAAAGUCGGGUUGAUCAUUGUCUUGGGGUCAGUCACAUCAAGUCAGGUCAGGUCGGUUGUUAUUGCUUAAUGGGUAGUUUUGGUUCCCAUAUGGGAUGCUUCGCUGUGGAGUCUUUUGCCUGAGUUAAGUGAUAAGCUGGAAAGAAUAACUUAAUCACUUAGAAAGUACAGACUGAGGUCAGAAUGGAGGUAGUUGAAGUCCUCUUUCAGGUACACCCUUCACCCAAUAUCUACCUGCUCUGACUCCACUGGACAUUAGCAACUCUUUCCAAAAGACAAGUAUCAUUGAUUUUAGGAAAAUGUUCCCAUUCAUACCUAUCAAAGAGCAAGUUGUUAGGGUAGGCUCUUUAUUGUUUGUUUGUUUGUUUGUUUUUCACUUUGACAAACCCUUGAAUGCUUUUAGAGUAAUUUUGUUUUGGUUUUGCUUUAUUUUGGUAUAUUUUUGUAAAUGUAUUAUGAAAACACAAAGUGUUUUUUAAAUAGGACAGCUGAGCUGGCACAAAUGAAGACCUCAGGAUGGGGACGGGUGUGCAAACCACUGUCAAUCUCGCUCCAUUCCCCUUGUCACCUUUUAGAAGGCAAAGCAGGCACUCACAGCUUAAGCUAACCCCUUCCUUCCUCUAAGCCCAAACUCCUAGGAUAUACUGAUCCUAUACCCCUAACAUGGCACAGAGGGAAGACCGCACUCUUUCAUUGGAAGAAUCAGAUAUAUUUAGAAAGAAUACAUGCCCUUGGUUAUAAUAUAUUCUCUUCAAAGAUUAUACUAGCAUGAGAACUCAUCUAUUUUCUCUACCUGAACUGCACUGUCUCAUUGAAAGAAAUUUUCCUCCAAAAUAGGGCUGAAGAAGCACUUCCUGGCUGACUGAUAGAGACACAUCCCCAGAAACAGAGUGUAGGGCAAUGGUGGGGGUGUCCUAAGGAACAUGAUAUCCUUGGCUAAUGCUGGAAGGUGCUGGCUGGGGACACAAACUCCCUGGGGGUGUGGACCCUCCUGUCCCUACUUGGACAACUCUGACCCUCAAAGCCUGCUUGAUUGGUUAGACAAUUAGUUGGUUGAAUGCAGAGUACUCAGAGUCAGAGGGAGACCCUUUUAGGGUGCUUUGCCCUGAGGGCUCUCAGGUCUUCUUCCUCCACCCAUUCACAUGUCCCCCAUGCCAAUGUUAAUCUCUUCUCUCCUCCUGCUCCCCACCCUUCCCCAGUAUUCUAAUUCUUCACCUCAUUACACAGAGGAAUUCACCUCUCCCAAGUCCUUCCCCAACCCAGGAUGAGUUUGGGUGCAAACUCAUCCUGAUUUGGGAAGUCACAGAAGCAUUACCCAACCUCUUAUAGAGAGAGACCCAUUAUAUAUAGAAAUACAUUUGGCUUGUUUUGAAUCACAACCAUGGUUACGUCCUCUAUAAACAGUUUCUUGAUUUUCUCCCAUCUACUUUAUUUUUUUUUAAUUUUUUAAUGUUUUGGUUUUUGUUUUUUUUUUUGAGAGACAGAGACAGAGCACAAGUGGGGGAGGAGCAGAGAGAGAGAGACACACACAGAAUCUGAAGCAGGCUCCAGGUUCUGAGCUGUCAGCACAGAGCCCGACAGGAGGCUUGAACCCACGAACUGUGAGAUCAUGACCUGAGCUGAAGUCAGACACUUUAACCUACUGAGCCACCCAGGCACCCCAAGAAUUUAAAUUUUCUAAUAAAACAAAAAAUUUCGUCAAAAAAGUCCAACUGUUAUAAAAGAUAUUCCUGUGCAGUUAGAUUCAUAUAAGAUGGAAAUACGUAUGCUUGUGGCCAAGCUGACACUUUAAUCAGGAGUUAUGAUUAAUUCCCUUCCCUCACUUCCAUGUCCUGGCAAGGACUAAUGUUUUCUGAUCCUAUAAUUUUGCUUUACCUAGAAUGACCUAUACAUAGACCCUAUAUAGCAUGUUGCUUUUAUG
This is a long non-coding RNA of Acinonyx jubatus (cheetah), 4338 nucleotides long. RefSeq lists it as uncharacterized. The record is from RefSeq and is a predicted model, not a curated record. The transcript has 5 exons. NCBI's taxonomy places the organism in Eukaryota, Metazoa, Chordata, Mammalia, Carnivora, Felidae.